ACGUCUACGAGUUUGAUCAUGGCUCAGGAUGAACGCUAGCGGCAGGCUUAACACAUGCAAGUCGAGGGGCAGCGCGAUGUAGCAAUACAUUGGCGGCGACCGGCGCACGGGUGCGUAACACGUAUGGAACUUACCCUUUACUGGGAGAUAGCCCGGAGAAAUCCGGAUUAAUAUCCCAUAAUAAACGAAGUGGCAUCACUUUGUUUUGAAAGCUCCGGCGGUAAAGAAUGGCCAUGCGCACGAUUAGCUAGUAGGUGAGGUAACGGCUCACCUAGGCUACGAUCGUUAGGGGGCCUGAGAGGGUUAUCCCCCACACUGGUACUGAGACACGGACCAGACUCCUACGGGAGGCAGCAGUGAGGAAUAUUGCGCAAUGGAGGCAACUCUGACGCAGCCAUGCCGCGUACAGGAAGAAGGCGCUACGCGUUGUAAACUGCUUUUAACCGGGAAGAAACCCUCCGACGUGUCGGAGGUUGACGGUACCGGAGGAAUAAGCACCGGCUAACUUCGUG
RNAcentral lists this ribosomal RNA (512 nucleotides) under uncultured bacterium. Its description in RNAcentral is "bacterial SSU rRNA". It matches the Rfam family "Bacterial small subunit ribosomal RNA", at positions 1 to 507 of the family's 1533-position model. The record is from RNAcentral.